Molecule: ribosomal RNA, 426 nt
Filed under: uncultured bacterium
Lineage: Bacteria
Description: bacterial SSU rRNA
Rfam family: Bacterial small subunit ribosomal RNA
Source: RNAcentral
GUAGGGAAUUUUCCGCAAUGGGCGAAAGCCUGACGGAGCAACGCCGCGUGAGGGAAGAAGGUCUUCGGAUCGUAAACCUCUGUCUUCAGGGACGAUGAUGACGGUACCUGAGGAGGAAGCCACGGCUAACUACGUGCCAGCAGCCGCGGUAAUACGUAGGUGGCGAGCGUUGUCCGGAAUUACUGGGCGUAAAGGGCGUGUAGGCGGCCAUUUAAGUCAGAUGUGAAAUACCAUGGCUUAACCAUGGGACUGCAUUUGAGACUGGAUGGCUUGAGGAUCGGAGAGGGCAGUGGAAUUCCCAGUGUAGCGGUGAAAUGCGUAGAUAUUGGGAGGAACACCAGUGGCGAAGGCGACUGCCUGGACGACACCUGACGCUGAGGCGCGAAAGCUAGGGGAGCAAACGGGAUUAGAAACCCUAGUAGUCCC